RNAcentral lists this ribosomal RNA (650 nucleotides) under uncultured bacterium. RNAcentral describes it as "bacterial SSU rRNA". It matches the Rfam family "Bacterial small subunit ribosomal RNA", at positions 56 to 702 of the family's 1533-position model. The record is from RNAcentral.
UGCAGUCGAACGGCAGCACGGGAGCAAUCCUGGUGGCGAGUGGCGAACGGGUGAGUAAUAUAUCGGAACGUGCCCAGUCGUGGGGGAUAACGUAGCGAAAGUUACGCUAAUACCGCAUACGAUCUACGGAUGAAAGCGGGGGAUCGCAAGACCUCGCGCGAUUGGAGCGGCCGAUAUCAGAUUAGCUUGUUGGUGGGGUAAAAGCCCACCAAGGCGACGAUCUGUAGCUGGUCUGAGAGGACGACCAGCCACACUGGGACUGAGACACGGCCCAGACUCCUACGGGAGGCAGCAGUGGGGAAUUUUGGACAAUGGGCGCAAGCCUGAUCCAGCAAUGCCGCGUGCAGGAUGAAGGCCUUCGGGUUGUAAACUGCUUUUGUACGGAACGAAACGGUCCUUUCUAAUACAAGGGGCUAAUGACGGUACCGUAAGAAUAAGCACCGGCUAACUACGUGCCAGCAGCCGCGGUAAUACGUAGGGUGCGAGCGUUAAUCGGAAUUACUGGGCGUAAAGCGUGCGCAGGCGGUUUUGUAAGACAGAUGUGAAAUCCCCGGGCUCAACCUGGGACCUGCAUUUGUGACUGCAAGGCUGGAGUACGGUAGAGGGGGAUGGAAUUCCGCGUGUAGCAGUGAAAUGCGUAGAUAUGCGGA